UACGUAGGGGGCAAGCGUUAUCCGGAUUCACUGGGUGUAAAGGGAGCGUAGACGGCGACGCAAGUCUGGAGUGAAAGCCCGGGGCCCAACCCCGGGACUGCUCUGGAAACUGCGUCGCUGGAGUGCCGGAGGGGUAGGCGGAAUUCCUAGUGUAGCGGUGAAAUGCGUAGAUAUUAGGAGGAACACCAGUGGCGAAGGCGGCCUACUGGACGGUGACUGACGCUGAGGCUCGAAAGCGUGGGGAGCAAACAGG
RNAcentral lists this ribosomal RNA (253 nucleotides) under uncultured bacterium. RNAcentral's name for it is "partial 16S ribosomal RNA". It matches the Rfam family "Bacterial small subunit ribosomal RNA", at positions 524 to 776 of the family's 1533-position model. The record is from RNAcentral.